This 803-nucleotide long non-coding RNA is filed under the name Musa acuminata (dwarf banana). RNAcentral describes it as "long non-coding RNA (MACU_LNC001381)". The record is from RNAcentral. Lineage: Eukaryota; Viridiplantae; Streptophyta; Magnoliopsida; Zingiberales; Musaceae.
GUAUUUACUGGGGAUGAUAUUUGAGCAUGAGUUGUGAUGAUGUUCCACUGGCAAGAUCUAAUCAGAGAGCAAGAACUUAUUAGCUGCCACUGAGCUUUCUACUCAACAGCCAGUCUUCCAACUUUCUCAUGCAAGCAAUUUCUAGGCAAGUCCUAAUUUCUUCUAAUCAAACAAUAGAAGAUACACAAACUCAGAGAUAAGUUUUCUCUGAAUUAUUAACUUUGAUGGCAGAUUGCUUCAGUUUUACCAACAGAAGAUACACAUUACAGCGAUAGUGUUUGUCCAGAAAUAUGUGUCCUGAACACUAGUUCUGAGCAAGCAAAAGGGGAGAAGAAUACACAAGGUAAGAACCUCCUCUCUGUUUGAAUUGCUUCAGUGAAGUUUCAUAUCUCCCCUACCACUAGCCAUUCUCCAUCUGAAUAAUCCCAGGACAUCCCAACCACAUAAAAGUUCAUAUCACCAGCCUCAUCACUGUCAGGGCUAAAUGGCUCUACCUCUUCAACUUUGGCACCCUUACAUCCCACCUCCAAGUCAAUAGUCUCGGGAGAAACUUCUCCAUAGCCGUAAUCUAGAUUUUCCUCCAUGUUAUGAUUGUCAUAAUCUUCUCCUUCACACAAACUAUCGGCAUAUAAAUGAUUGAGAGUCUCACUUGCAGAAGCAACUUUAUAAUUCGGCAAACUUGUGCUGUUGUUCACCACCCGCCAUGCCACCAGUUGGUGAUUGAGCACCACAUCACAAGAUUUUAGCUUAUAUGCACCUUUGGCCUUGUCCCUGGACUUGGACAUUGGAUUGGAAUGGCAGCC